RNAcentral lists this ribosomal RNA (770 nucleotides) under Chryseobacterium shigense. RNAcentral's name for it is "bacterial SSU rRNA". It matches the Rfam family "Bacterial small subunit ribosomal RNA", at positions 82 to 854 of the family's 1533-position model. Lineage: Bacteria; Pseudomonadati; Bacteroidota; Flavobacteriia; Flavobacteriales; Weeksellaceae. The record is from RNAcentral.
CGGAUCUUUGAGAGCGGCGCACGGGUGCGGAACACGUGUGCAACCUGCCUUUAUCAGGGGGAUAGCCUUUCGAAAGGAAGAUUAAUACCCCAUAAUAUAAUGACUGGCAUCAGUUCUUAUUGAAAACUCCGGUGGAUAGAGAUGGGCACGCGCAGGAUUAGAUAGUUGGUAGGGUAACGGCCUACCAAGUCAACGAUCCUUAGGGGGCCUGAGAGGGUGAUCCCCCACACUGGUACUGAGACACGGACCAGACUCCUACGGGAGGCAGCAGUGAGGAAUAUUGGACAAUGGGUGAGAGCCUGAUCCAGCCAUCCCGCGUGAAGGACGACGGCCCUAUGGGUUGUAAACUUCUUUUGUAUAGGGAUAAACCUACUCUCGUGAGAGUAGCUGAAGGUACUAUACGAAUAAGCACCGGCUAACUCCGUGCCAGCAGCCGCGGUAAUACGGAGGGUGCAAGCGUUAUCCGGAUUUAUUGGGUUUAAAGGGUCCGUAGGCUGAUUUGUAAGUCAGUGGUGAAAUCUCACAGCUCAACUGUGAAACUGCCAUUGAUACUGCAAGUCUUGAGUGUUGUUGAAGUAGCUGGAAUAAGUAGUGUAGCGGUGAAAUGCAUAGAUAUUACUUAGAACACCAAUUGCGAAGGCAGGUUACUAAGCAACAACUGACGCUGAUGGACGAAAGCGUGGGGAGCGAACAGGAUUAGAUACCCUGGUAGUCCACGCCGUAAACGAUGCUAACUCGUUUUUGGGUUUUCGGAUUCAGAGACUAAGCGA